Molecule: long non-coding RNA, 643 nt
Organism: Rhinichthys klamathensis goyatoka
Lineage: Eukaryota; Metazoa; Chordata; Actinopteri; Cypriniformes; Leuciscidae
Exons: 3
Source: RefSeq, a predicted model, not a curated record
GUUUCGAUAGAAAAUUCGUACCUUGAUCCGUUUGCACUACCUUCGGUAAGCCGAAUGUGGAAAAGAAUUUCACCAACGCUUUGCUGACCACAGGUGCCGUGAUUUUCCUCAAAGGAAUCGCCUCUGGAAACCUGGUAUUCACACACAUGAUAGUUAACAGAAACUGAUUACCAUUCUUAGUCUUAGGUAAUGGGCCAACACAGUCAACAAGCACAUGUUCAAAUGGUUCUCCAAUCGCCGGUAUUGGAGUCAAAGGAGCAAGUGGUAUACUCUGGUUUGGUUUUCCCACAAUCUGACAAGUGUGACAGGUACGGCAGUAUUGGGCAACAUCUUUCUUUAAUCCUGGCCAGAAGAAAUGACUCAAAAUUCUGUUAUAGGUCUUAGUAACUCCUAAAUGACCAGAAAGCUGGUGAUCAUGAGCCAGAAACAAGACAUGUUGACGAUAAGGAGACGGAACCACAACUUGAUAAACAACAUUCCAAUCUAAGUUUUCAUCAACAUGAGAACACCAUUUCCUCAUCAGUAGUUCAUUCUCAAUGAAUGAUAAUUUUCUCACGAGAUACAGUCAAAAGUGGAAACAUGAAUGAGCUAGACAGAUCCACUACAUCACCCACUCUGCGCGACUGAGCGCAUGUGACAGCGC